GGAGUUGGCCAGGCAGUCGCGCUAUUCUAUAUAUAUAGAAUAGGGAGGAAAGUCCGGGCUCCACAGGGCAGGGUGCCAGGUAACACCUGGGGGGCGCGAGCCUACGGAAAGUGCAGCAGAAAAUAUACCGCCUAAGUUUCUUUUCGGAGAAACCGGUAAGGUUGAAAUGGUGCGGUAAGAGCGCACCGCGUCGGUGGUAACAUUCGACGGCAUGGUAAACCCCACUCGGAGCAAGACCAAAUAGGGGAACAACGUGUGGCCCACAUGGUUCCCGGGUAGGUUGCUUGAGGUGCAUGGUGACAUGUAUCCAGAUGAAUGACUGUCCACGACAGAACCCGGCUUAUCGGCCAACUCCACUU
This 359-nucleotide RNase P RNA is filed under the name Gammaproteobacteria bacterium. RNAcentral describes it as "RNase P RNA component class A". It matches the Rfam family "Bacterial RNase P class A". From Rfam's summary of the family: Ribonuclease P (RNase P) is a ubiquitous endoribonuclease, found in archaea, bacteria and eukarya as well as chloroplasts and mitochondria. Its best characterised activity is the generation of mature 5'-ends of tRNAs by cleaving the 5'-leader elements of precursor-tRNAs. Lineage: Bacteria; Pseudomonadati; Pseudomonadota; Gammaproteobacteria. The record is from RNAcentral.